GUGCUUAAUUUAUGCUAACCACCGAUGAUCUGAUAAACUAAUUACCAACAACUGUAAUCAGUUUUUGGGAUCCAACAUUAUUUUUUUCACGUAUUUUGGUAUGCCAUCUCAUCUCGUGUUUACCAUAAGUAUCGUUGCUUAGGAGACCAAUCCUGUUAAGGCCCCGUUUGAGAGUGAUUUUUCAUCAAAAAAAAUUAAUUUUUUUACUGUUAUUUCACUAUUCCAACCGUAAUUCUUGACUUGUUCUCUCGCAGGUGGUCCUCACUUUUCUCCUAACAGUCAAAAAAUCAAUUCUCAAAAUCACUACAGAAUAGGCCAUAAAAUUAAAUACAUUUCAAUUAAAAAUAUACAUUAAUUUUAGAUAUAAAACAAUUAAAAUCAAUACAAAAAUAGACAGUUAUCUAUCCCAAUUAAUUAAUUAAAUCAUAUUCAAUCGAUCAUCACAACUGUGAACGUAAAAUCCUUAAAUUAUAUGAAGUGUUGAGCGAUUGUUUGAACCAUAUUCAUCGAUCAUCUAUUACAUUAAGUAGAUAAUUAAAUUUAGAUUUUAAUUCAAACUAAAGCAUUUUUUUCUUUUUCUAAUAAUUUUCUCGAAUUUCAGCUAAAUUUCUAGGUCAAUUUAUCCAAAAUUUCUUAAUUUUUGAUAAUAAUUUGCCAUAUUUUAUUGAGAGUUGUGUCGUUUCGUUCAAAUUUGUUAUGGGCUCCUUUAAAUUUUAGCCAACGUCAUUUAUGUUUAUUUACAUUUCAACGUCCUUGUCAAGUCACUCAAUUAAUUAUUUACAUUUUAACAUAAUUUCUAGAUUUUCUUAUUAAUUGUUUAAAUGAUUUAGUGGAUUACUUGAAUGGUCGUUUUGAAGCUUUGACCAAUAUGUCUUUCGAUAUCUUACUUUUUAUGAAAAUUCAAUGCAAAUAAAUAUUAGCACCCGUUUGCCAUCCUCUUAAAAUUUAAAUUGUUUGCUUUAGUAUCAUUCUUAACCAUACAUUCAUACAAUAAAAUAUUAUCCACACAAACCAAUAAAGUUUUAUUACUUUUUAAUCACACAUUUUCCAAAAGAUACUAUUCAAUAUUAACUCAAUAUUCCCAAAUAAAUUCUACUAAACAUGCCCUUAGAUUAUCUCUCAAAUCGCUAAAGAUGUAUUAGAUAUUCAAAUAUUCAUAAUUAUUUCUAAGUCUACAUUCCGUACCAGUGGUAGAACUAUUGAUUCGUUUAGGAGUUCGUUAAGUACAAAUAUGAUUAAAAUGUUUUCUAUCAUAUUGUUAUAUUAUAAUGAUUAGAAUUAUAGAACUUUGAUUUGUAAUAUUUUUUAAGGGUAAUUUGCACAUAACAUCCAAUAUUUCAAUAUUAUUAUACAAAAUGUCCCCGCCUUACAUUUUUUUUAGCAUUUUCAUAUUUGAUUGCCAAAAACAUCCUUCCAUCCAUUUACAGUUAAUAUCUUUGUUAACUAAACACAAAAAAUCUAUUUUCUUUUCAAAAAGAAAGGGUGACAUAGUCUUACAAGUUUUUUUCCUUUCUUCCCACUUUAAAAAAUGGUUCUUUCAUAACUAACAAUAACUUUAAUAUGAAAAUAGUUGAUAAUUUAUUCCAUUAAAUAAAUAAAAAAUGAGAAGAACGAUGGUUAUUGUAAUGGUGGAUUGCUCAUAAAAUUUGGAAUGGUAGAUGAAGAGAUUGAAUAUGUGAUCUAUGAAUUGAAGAUGUUCAUCCCCAUUUUAGCUUACAAUCAAGGGUGUAACUAGGUGGGAAGUGAGAAGAACAAUAACACAUUUGAUGUUUUAAAUUACUCAUCAAAUUUCACUAGUGAAGAUGAACUAGAGCUGUUCAUCUCUUCUUUUCUUUUCUUUUCUUUUCUUUUCUUUUCCUUUUUUUUGGGGGGGGGGGGGUUUCUAAAAUUAAACUUUUGAUAAACAUCUCUAAUUAGUAAUAAAUAAAUAAAUAAAAAUUUACCAUCGCUCGGUUUAAUACUCUUCAUUGUGUGAUUCCACUAUGCGGCAAGGAGAGGAGAGGAAUGCACUAAGAAAAGUGGGAAUAUAUAUAUAUAUUUUUUUUAAAAAGAAAAACUGCAAGGUAAUCAUACCUGCAUAAGGGAGGAAAAAUGGGAAACAUUUUGUAAGACCAUAUCACCCUUCAAUUUUGAAAAGAAAAUUGACUUUUUUUGUGUUCAGCUAAUGAAGAUAUUCGUUGUAACUGGAUGGAAGGACAUUUUUGGUAAUCAAGGCUUUGUUUGUCUAUCAUUUUUUUACAUUCUACCACAUUAUUUUUUUUAUGGUAUUCAUUUUCAACCAUAUAUUCUACAUUAAAAUAAUAUUACACGUAAAUAAAAAACGUUUCCUUCUUUUUUAACCACACAUUUUAACAUCAAUUACUAUUCCAUAAUACAUUACUCACAAAUAAUGGACACAAACAAGCACCAAAUGUGUAAUUAAAUGUAAAAUUAUCAAAAAAAGACAAAAAGAAAAGGUAGAAACAUUUUGCGCGAUAAUAGUACCAUAUUUUUAAUAAUAUUAUUUAUGUUUUAAGUGAAAUUUUAAAAUAAUAUUUAUGAUGUAACUUAUUCAAUAUAUGAUUUAUUUUUUAUUUUUUGUUAAAUCGUGUUUUUAAACUGAACCAAAUAAAAAAAAAAGGUGAUUUAGAUUGGUUCGAUUUAAAAUUAAAGUUGUUUGUUUCGGGUUAAAAAUUAAAAAAAAAAAAAGAAAAAAAAAAGAAGAAGGGUAAAAUAGUCAAAAAUGGGUGAAAAUGACUUUUGCUCAACAAAAUGUGGAAUGUAGAGGUGAAAAUGUCAAAAAAUAAAAAUUACAGACGUUUUACACAAUAACACUAAAAGGUAGAGACGUUUUGUAUCAAUUACCCCCUUCGAAAAAAUGACAAUUUUCAAGUACCAAACACCUACCUCCAUCCCUACCCUCACACCCACCACCAGCCGUUGGUUGAGGCUUCGACACCAGCAGCCAAAAAUGGAAACGAAGAAACAGAGACGGCAAGAAGAUGUCGGCAAAAUAGGUCUUGAAUUUAAAGAAAACGAACAGGGAACUUCUACAAAAAUGUCUAAAAGAUCUUGAUUCUGCAUAAGAAACUGCAGGAACUCGAAUCUGAAUUCCUCCAUGUGAUUGACCUCCCACCGGAAAUCAGAGUAUCUCAAAUUAAAAAUUUUUGAUGGUAAUUGCUAGUCGGUGGGUGUAGGUUGGGAUGUUGAUUGUGGGGGAGGACAUGUUAUUGAUUCUGGAUUUAGCUUGAAAUCAUUUUUAAAAGAUAUUUUAAACAUAAGAUACUCUUUAUUUUAGGAAUCAAUUUAUGGGUACUAUAUUAUUCACAUCAUGAUUCAUAGCAAACUCACGUACAAGGAGUGAGAUCCACAAUUAGAGGGUUGUAAUUGUACAGUCCAACAUGGACUGUACAAACAACAAUACCCAUUUUAAAGAAUUUACCAUUAAAAUCAUGUUCUAAGAGAUAUUUUAAAUUAACAUUUUAAUAUAAUUAAAUGCAUUCCAAGUAUUUAAAGUUUUAAUGUAAUAAAAUAAUAUAAUAAUCUAUAGAAAAAUUGUUAAAAUAAAAGAUAAAAAUAAAAAUAAUAAAUUUAUAGAAUAAUAAAAUUAAAUGUUAAAUAUAAAGAACUUAUUGGAGUAUUUUAAAAUUUUGAAUCUCUAAAUUUAUAUAUGACCUUCAAACGAUAAAAUACGCUUUUUAAAAAUCGAGUCUUUUGAAUGUUUUCUAAUUUAGGUAAAUUUUAAUGGCAUUUUUGUCUAUUUCUUGAAAAAAAAAUGGAUAUUGACCUAAAAGUUAUAAGUCUUGGCCAUUGUCCCAGUUGCAUUUUCAAAAAUUCACACUUCUCCAAUCUCCAGUCUCUAAUAACACAGAAGUGAAAUUUAAAAAAAUAAAAUAAUAAUAAUAAUAAUAAAAUGAUGAUUUUACUAAACUAGUGAUAGCAAAAAAAUCCGUUUCGCCCUGCCCCGAUGGGUUGGCCGGGUGGGGCGGGGCAGAAUGAGGAGCCCCUUCGCGCCCCCGACCCUGACCCCACCACGUGAAUUUUUUUUUUAAUUUCAAGUUAUAUUAUUAUUAGAUAGUAAAAUACAAAUGUAAAAUUUUAAUUAAUUACAAAAGAAAUAAAAUUUAGUCAAAACGUAAUUUUAUUUGAAAUUGUAUAAUUAUUAACAUUGUUUAUUUUAAGUGUUUACUUUGAAUUUUAAAAUUUUGAAUUUAUAUUUUAUUCACUAAUAAUAACAUAAUUUGAAAAUUAAAAAUAAAAUUAAAUUAAAUGGGCGCGACAAAUGGGGCAUGGCCUGUUUGAGGCGGGGCGGGUACAAUUAAGUAAAUCUGCAUCUAAGUCAUCCAUCUACUCUUCCAUAAUUAAUAUAAAGACAUAACAUCAGUAAUAUCUAAAUGGAAUCUAGAAUUUAAGGUUGCGUUUGGUUUCUUGUUUUCAAGCCAUUUUCUAUUUUUAGUUUUCGAAAAUGUCAAAUUAUUAUUUUUUUAUUUUUUACCCAGGGGAUGCUCAACAGUACUUUUAAAAUAAAAUGUUGUAAUCUGAUACAAUUGAAUGAAGCAUACUAAUUUUAAAACCCACAAAAUAUUUUUAAAUUUCCAUUAUCGUUUUCUUUUUCGUUGAUCAAAAUUUGGAAGAAUUAUUUUAUUUUUUUUACUGUUCAAGUGACAGCAAAAUACAUCCAAAAUGAUAAAGGACAGACUAGAUAUUUUCUUUACAACGAUUCCUACUUUUGGUCUAUAAAUUUAUUAUUUUAUUUUUAUAGCAAGAAAAAAUAAUAAUUCACUAAGUUUAAAAUAUAAAUUAUCCAGUAAUAUAUUAGCAUAAAAUUAUUAUAUUUUAUUAAAUAAUAAAUUAAUUAAAUAAUGUCAUAAAACAAUUUUUAAAAAUUUUAAACCAAAUGCAUUUUUUUUGUUUUCUAUUUUGAGAAACCGUUUUUUAAAAUGACAAGUCAGAUACAUUUUCUAUAAUCCGAAAAUAGUACCUCAAAAUAGAAAACUAAAAAUGAAUUCAAAAUUGAAAACAAAAAAUGGAAAUGCAAACCAAAAACACCCUAAAUUUCUACUAAUGCAAGUACAAUUAAGUUUAAAAUAGAAAUGGUUCCCAUAAUGUAACAUCUCUUAACUUUUAGUUCAAUAUCCUUAACAUAAGAAAUUAGGAACUUCUUAAACAAAAAUCCAUAUCUUCAUAAACAGAAAUCCCCACACCAUUUUAUGAAUUAUACCAAACAUUAACACAUUAAACAUCUCUGAUUUUAGGGGAAAAGGCACAAAACACAAGGUACAAUACACAAAUGUCAGAUGAAGAAUUUCAAAAUGAAAAUCGAAUAACAACAAUAAAUAAGUAUCAAAUAAAGAAAAUAUAGAUUAACCUUAGGUUUAUAAACUUGUGAAAAAAAAAUAAUUAAAAAUUCUUCUUUAAAAUUCCUUCAACAAAAUUUGAUUUCCCCUUCAUCCCCGUCAAUUCACUUUCAUCACCCAUGGUUCGAGUCUCUAGUCAAUGGUGUCAUGUGGAUGGGGUCGUCAAUUGAUCAGUGAAUUGCCUUCUUCUUUUUAUGGGUGAAGCGAUUUCUUCUUUGCGUGGUAUUUUCUUUCUGUAAAUGACAGUUCUGUGAUCAGCUUGGACUAUUUUGGGUAGGUUUCCUCUUUGCAUGGGUAAUGCAGCUUCUUCUUCAUGUGGGCUAAAGGGUUUUUUCUUCGCGUGAGGGGUGGUUAGGAUUUUCUCUGUAAUCUUUGAUAAGUAUUGUUGAAGUCAAAAAUUGCUACGUAUAAUAUUUGGCAAACUUUUUGAGUGAAAUGUAUAUUUUCUAUUGAUGAUACCGAUUACAAUUACAUUUUUCUUAUUGUCUAGCCAACAGGAGUUGUUUCCCAUUUUAUCAGGGGUUUUGGGUUUUGGAAUUAUGCCUUGUCAAUCAUAUUCACCACAUUGUCGAGCUAGGUUUAUGUGCCGCUGAUCUCUUCCUUGAAUGGUUUACGAGGCCGGUUCCAAUCAAAUCACAAUAAUAUCUCUUCUUGUCAGGAAAUCAUGACAUGUUUCUGGAUAAGGAUUUAUGGGUGGUUAAUUGGUUGGUAUGUGCAGUGCUAAACUUUUUUCAAGUGUGCUUGACUGAUUGGGUGAUUUGACAAGGCGUCAGAAAUCUAUAAUCAUGAUGUAUAUCGAUUUUACGGCUGUUGGGAGACCGAGCCGAGCUCAAAAACUCGGAAUAGCUAGUUGAUAAGGUAGGUGUGAAGCACGUUUUAAAUGAGAUCGGAGAUCGGUAGUCAACAUUUUCUCCCCAGGUUAGUACUUCCCUAAUGGAUGGACUGACCUUUGGACUCGACUGCCUUUGAAAAGCUAAAGCUUUAAUAGGAAUGCCAAGUGUUGCGAUCUGUCCUUUAUAAGCUGUCUUACAUCUUCGUUUCCUUCAUUUGAAAGUUUUGCCAUAACUACGUAGUUUUGGCUUGGUAAUCAGGGCCCUUCAUUUUCGCUUGUAGGGUAUCUUUUGGUUUGCCAUUACUUUAAAUAGUUUAGUUUUGGCUUGCUAAUCAGGGCCCUUCAUUUUCGCUUGUAGGGAAUCUUUUGGUUUUCCAUUACUUUAAAUAGUUUUUUCCCAUUUCAAUUAACCGCUUUACUUUUGCUUCUACUCUCUCUCAAGGAAAAAGAGAAACAUUUUAGUGCACCCCUUCCUGUUCUAUUUGAGGUCUUUCAUUCCUAAUUCCCAGGUAUUCCUCUUACCAGAAAGUGCCUUUAUUUCUUCUCAUUCUUUCACCUAGUUAUUAUAUGAGUUCUGACUAGUCUAGAGUACAUUAGUGGAGCAACCAAUAGGAAGAAUCUGUUCCUUUUUUAGUUCUUCUCUGAGCUAUCAGGAAAUCCUAACCCCUAUCCCUAUCUCCAUAGUUAACCUGAUAGAUUUAGGUUGUCCUACAAACAUGGAUCUAGAUUCAGAGGGUUCUGGAGGAGAGGAGAUUGGGUCACACGAGGACAGUGAGAAGAAUAUUUUGAGGGGUGGGGGUGAGCUCGUAUAAGUCAAUGGUGACAGGGGACAUGUUGGUGAACUGGAGGGCAAAAUAUGAUAUCCCCAGCUCAAUAGAAAUGGUGAUUCCUGAACCAUUAGACCGAGCUAAUGCUCUCUCAGUGGGAUACAUAGCUUUGAAUUCGGCAAUCCUGAAUGCCGAACUUAGACUCCCCUUUCCUAGGGUUCUCCAAAAUUUUUUGUCUUUUUUGGGGGAUAUAACUCCCACUUAGAUAUGUCCCAACCGGUGGCGAACAUUAAUUGCCACAUUUAUUCUGAGGUAACUUUUGAGUGAUUCACUUCUCCCUUGCUUGAUGCUUAUCGAUCAUUCCUUGGGCAUGGUUUUGGCCUUGAACGCCAUGAAUUAUGCCAGGAAUGUCGUGGCUAGGUCUUUCCAAUUUUUUUUAUAGACCUUUCGUACAUCCUUCUGAACCACUUUUGAGCCUUGUCUCCCAAGGUUAAGGGAAAAGCACGGCACAUAAUAGCAUCACUUGCUCCAUGUAGUUUCAUCCAUGAAGUGUAUUUAUCUUGAUGACUAAGGGGAUCUCCUUUCUCUUCGUACGCAACUAGCUAUGGUAUCUUUAAUUUUUUAGGUAAAUGUUCGAUAAGGAUGCCUUCUGUGAAGGGAGAAUGGCGCUUUGCAAGAUACUCCUCCAUCACUUCUGGCCUCCAAAUUGGCAAUAUGUCUUUCCAGAAUGCUUAGUUUAGGCUCUACUUGUUCAAGUGGACGGUUUAGGUUAAGUUGGCAGGCGCCCUUUGGGGCAUUUAGGAGUGCUAAGAGUCUAACCUAUUGAAUACACGUCGGCCUUCCUGGUGAUUGGCUCUGUCAUUGGAGGGGGCUUCUAACCUCUUCAGUUUGACUUUCAGUGGAUUCUCCUUCGAAAGUUGAGGGAUCUCCUUAUGAGGAGUUGCCUGGCCCUUCCCCUAGCGGAAGAUCCCACCUUGGUAUCAAGUAGGGAAACGUGGGUCUGAUUUUGUUUCUCCCUACUAACUACAUUUGUCAACCUCUCAGUGGCUUCUCUCAUGGCAGUUAUUUGGAAGUUACCUAUUUCAGUUUGGUCUUGCUUUUCCAGAAAUUGUGUGAAGGUACAGUUUCAUUGGGAUGAGUGUAAGACUAGUUCUCCGAGGUGCAACCGCUUCUCAUAGCUUCUGUUUGAUUGUUGUUUUUGGGAAAGAGUGGGGCUGUUCUUGCACAAUAAGGGCCCUUCUUCUAGCCCCAAACUGUUGAAGUCAGAAAUUACUAUUUAUAAUUUUUGGCAAUCUCUUUGAGUGAAAUGUAUAUUUUCUAAUGAUGAUACCGAUUACAAGCCCAUUUUUCUUUUUGUCCAGCGAGCCAGCGAAAGCAGUUCUUCCUUUUAUAGGGGGUUAUUUUUCUGGAGUUAUGUCUUGUCAAUCAUAUUCACCACAGUGCUGAGCUAGAUUUAUAUGCCAUCGAUUUCUUCCUUGAUUGGUUUACAAGGCCGAUUCCAAUCAAGUCACAAUAAUAUCUCUUAUUGUUAGGAAAUCAUGACUUGUUUCUGGAUAAGGAUUUAUGGUGGUUAAUUGAUGGGUUUGGGUGGUGCUAAUGAAAGGGUGGCAAUCAGGCUCAUCGGCUAGACUAGAAAAAAGCCCAUGCUAGCCCGACUCGAGGCUUGGUUGGGGUGCCGGCCUGAGCAAGAUGCGGCUUAGGCUUACGAGCCUUCAUAUUAAAAAAAAUUAAAAUUAGAAAAACACAGUUUAAAGGCAGCAGGCUGUGCUGCCUUUAAAAGGAAGGAAAAAAGUAAGCCUACUCGACUCGGCUUAGCUCGGCAAGGCUCUAGCCAAAAGCUCAGCUUGACUCGGACUCGUAAAAAAUCUCGGACCAUUUUACUUGAACUGAGCCUAAGCCUCGAGUUUUAGCUUGACUCGUUGACACCAUUAUGCUGACAUCACUUUUUUCAAGUGUGCCUAACUGAUUGGGUGAUUUGACAAAGCGUUACGAAUUUGUAAUCAUGAUGUCUAUUGAUUUUACGAUGGCUGCAAGAUUGAGUAGAGCUCGAAAACUUGGAAUGGUGAGUUGAUGAGGUAGGUGUAAAGUAUGUUUUAAAUGAGAUUGGAGAUCGGUGGUCAACAAGUUUGGACGAUUUUUUGAUUUUAUUAGCAUCCUAAUUACGGGUAUGAGAGGUUUUUAAUUUAUUUUAAUGUAUUUAAAAUUUAUUGCUUUGUUAGAAUAUUGGGCCUAAUUUUCUCUUUGGCAAUUACUCAUCCCUACUAAUUAAUUAAAUCAUAUUCAAUUAUCCAUCAGCCAUUAUAAUUAGGAAUGCAAAAUCCUUAAAUUGGCUAAAGAGCUUAACAAUACCUAUUGAAUUAUAUUCACCAAUAGUCCAUUAUAAUUGAGUGGACAAUUAAAUUUUAAUUUUAAUUCAAAAUCACACCAUUUAUUUUCUUUCUAUUAGUAACUUUCUAAGAUUUUUGACUUUAUUUCAAGAAUAGUUUACCCAUUUUUGGGUAAUUAUUUUCUUAUGUUUCAUUUGCAAUUCUCUGCAGCUUUAUUUCUAUUUUUAUUCUUUUUUUUUUUUUUUGUGCUGGGCACCUUACAUUUUUUGUUGAACGGUGGUCCUUGUUUUAUUUGCAUCUCAUUUUCCUCAUGUUACUAAAUUUAUUAUUAUUAUUAUUAUUAUUAUUAUUAUUAUAUCUUAGUUGUUAGAUUCUUUUGGAGUUAAAUGCUUCAUUAACCACCGAACUUUACAUCAUAUCACGGCUUACUCAUCGAACUUUCAUACCUUUCCCAUUGGCCACUAAACUUUGCUCUGUCCAAGUCCAUCACCCACCCAUUUGAAAACUGUUAAUAGCGUACAUACAUGGUUGACGGAAAGCUGAGUUGGCAGUUAAAUACUGCCAAAUAAAAACUUAAUCACCAAAUCAGCUCUAACUCAGCAAAGACGCGUCCAACUUUCACAAUAUGAGAAAAAUUGAUUCACGCUACUACUUAGGGAAACAAAAAGCGCCUCUUACCAACCACUCGUAUCAAUUCACGAACAAACAGGAAGAAAAAUUACCUUUUUAUUUUGAGCGAUCUUUGGGAUUGCUUCGUGCUGUCUGGGAGCAACCGAAUUUGGGAGGAGCGAGUUUUCAAUCAGUAGGUAAGGGUUUGAAAUAUGAGAAUCAAAAGUUGUGUGAAUUUUAAGUGGAGGAAAACUACCUUGAUUUCCGGCUGUAGGUAUGGAUUGCAGUAAUUGGACUGUCGAGUUCAAUUUGGGGAUUUAGGGUUUGGAUUUCGAUUUGGUUUGGUGAUGGUGCGUGUGUGUGUUUCUGAAAUGGAUAAGGGAAAUGAUAGGCAUGUAUAUGGUAAUUUUUUCCAUCUCAGAGGCGUGUUUUAUUAUGCUGACUUGUCGAUUAUUUGGCAAAACGUACACACUUGUAAAGAUUUAACAAGCCCUUUCUCGUCUGCCAUGCACGCACAUUAACUAACAGAUCUGAUUCAGUGCGUGAUGGAUUUGGACGGAGCAAAGUUCAGU
Molecule: long non-coding RNA, 10443 nt
Filed under: Olea europaea (common olive)
Lineage: Eukaryota; Viridiplantae; Streptophyta; Magnoliopsida; Lamiales; Oleaceae
Description: long non-coding RNA (OEUR_LNC002195)
Source: RNAcentral